GAACACUUCUCUAAACUAAAGCUGGUCGGAUUCCUGUGGUGGUGUUGUCUGUCCUCUGUGACUUUACCUCCACUGUUAAAUGUGAGAUCAGCAUGUUUAAUAAAGGAAUAUUACAACAUGGAUCUCUAUCACUACUGCUGCUGCUGUUGUCCUUCAUAUGGACAAUCUGGAGGAAUACUAGCAACACUGAUCUAAUGCUGGACUGUACCUACAUACUCGGAGAAAGCCUGAUACACAGAGGAAGGAAAAGAUACUCAUAUCUGGAUUUAAGAUCAAAUUCAUUUGUAUUAUCUAGAAACAGCUACUAUGAAGUGUUUGUUCUACCUGGAAGAUGUUAAAGUGUAUUCGUGUUGAUGAUGUUUCUGUAUGAGUGAUCUUCACUGUAACAUCUGCAGCAUAGAGAGGUUUUUGUACCAGCAGUAAUAGGGAAUGUAUCACUGUGGUGGACUUUUGGAAGCGGCACCAGACUAGAUGUUGGAAGUAACAGGGCCCCCACCCUCACCAUCCUGCCCCCCUCUAGUGAGGAGCUGUCCAGUACAACAAUAGCCACACUGAUGUGUUUGGCCAACAAGGGCUUCCCCUCAGACUGGACCAUGAGCUGGAAAGUGGAUGGGACCAGCAAAAAGCAGGAGACCAGUCCCGGGGUCCUGGAGAAGGACGGCCUGUACAGCUGGAGCAGCACCCUGACUCUCACUGCCCAGGAGUGGACCAAGGCAGGAGAGGUGACCUGUGAAGCCCAGCAGAAAUCCCAGACUCCAGUCACCAAGACCCUGAGGAAGGCUGACUGUUCUGGGUAGGAUCCCUCAGACACACACCCCUGUGGAGAGAGAUUGCUGGUUCCUCUGCUUUGACUUGCUUCGUUCUCUGAUUUAGUGAUCACUCUCGUAUAGACUAACAGGGGGCUUGGCUUGAGUUCAUGUAUCAAUCCAUUCUGUAGACUGAGAUUUUGUUAGAUUUAGAUUUGAUGUGAUGUUUUAUUCACUAUCAUGUUUGCUUUGAUGCUUCAAUUAUGAAAUAAUGGAUUCAAAUAAAGAUGUAUUUUUGCAAUGCA
This is a non-coding RNA of Oncorhynchus masou masou (cherry salmon), 1051 nucleotides long. The record is from the annotation of a RefSeq genome assembly. Lineage: Eukaryota; Metazoa; Chordata; Actinopteri; Salmoniformes; Salmonidae.